Lacerta agilis (Sand lizard) is the source of this 1127-nucleotide long non-coding RNA. RefSeq lists it as uncharacterized. NCBI's taxonomy places the organism in Eukaryota, Metazoa, Chordata, Lepidosauria, Squamata, Lacertidae. The record is from RefSeq and is a predicted model, not a curated record. The transcript is spliced from 4 exons.
AGUCUGACCUGUAGUAAACAGGGCCUGGCAGAGGCAAACUUCUUGGUUGAAAAGCACUCCCAUCCAUAUGCAUAAUGAUGAGAGUAACCCAGUACCUCACUUGACUGAUUAACAAUUUAAAUUCUCAAUUUUAGAGGUUCAAAUUAGUGUUAAAUCUCCUUUAGAAGCUCUAAUGAAUUUAAUUAAACUAAUUAAAUUAAGAUUUUUCAGCAUCUUUUACAACUUUAUGUUUUAGGGACAAUUAGUCCAAUACAGUCCUGAAGCGGUACAUUUUCUAACAAUGAUCUCUGUAUAAAUUAAACAAUUAAAUAUACCGGAUUUAUAUCUCACCUUCUGUUUUCUCAUUGCAGUUUCCAACUCAUCUCGAGUACAAUUAAAGUGACAAAGAAAAAAGGUCCCCUUUACAAAGCCCAUAAUGAGAGAGACUCCGAAAAACUCAACACAUCCUGAAGCAGAGAUGACAAAAGCAUCUAUUCCAGGAAGGGAAAGCUGUCAUGAGUAAGACAGAGAGUGAGGGAGAAGACACAUGGUGAGUGUGGUCCCGAGAGCUUCUCUGCUUUACUUAGGAGUGUCCUUCUGUUAAGAAGAGCAGUAACUCAGGUGCCAUGGUAAUGAAAGGAUUUUAAUCAUUGACAUCACUAUGUGAAUUAUUAUUACAGAAACCCCUGCUGUUGAGUUAGACAAAAUUAACCCAGUGUAUGGGGCAUUAAAAAAAAAAAAAACCUCAGCUAAUUAGUGAGCGAAUAAGAACAAAGAAAAUGGGAAAACAAAGAUGUGGAGAGGAAAGAUGCUUAGGAUCAUCUAACUAAUAUAGCUCGGCUUCGUUGGAGGAAACCAUUUAUCUGGACGAAAUGACACCGUGGUCCAGGUUGCAGGUCCCCUAUGGAACGUGGAGAGCAAGUCAUAGGUUUAAAUCACUGCGUGGCUUACAUUUUUUCUGCAGCUAGUCAUGCUGGUUUCCAAUGGGCAAUGCAUCAUGCUGCUGAUGUAAGAGCCGAAAUGAAGACAAUCAACCCUGAGAAUCCACCAGAGAAGUAUUCAUGCUGGGCGCCAUUUGUUCCUAAUUGCUCUUUGUAAGUUAUAGUUUGAGAUAAAGCUCCCAAAAUGGAAUAAACACAAAAUAAUAA